This 821-nucleotide long non-coding RNA is filed under the name Homo sapiens (human). RNAcentral describes it as "non-protein coding lnc-KLF7-1:17". Lineage: Eukaryota; Metazoa; Chordata; Mammalia; Primates; Hominidae. The record is from RNAcentral.
GGGGAGUGCUCGAAUAUCUGCCACCAGCUUGAGUCAGAACCUCGACUUCCCUCAGCUUUUCAGGGUCUGUUACUGAGUCUGGUCCACACUCCAGGGUCUUUUCCUCACGGUCUGGGUCUGGUCUUUUUCAGGUGCCUACCUUUCCUCCCUGCAAACUGCCUUGAGUUGCCUCCCCUUCUCCCUUCCUUCCUGGUCUGUCAGAGACAUCUUGUCUGGGUGCAUAUUUGAACCCCAUCAGUAGACAGAAAACAUGUAUUUCCUUGAAGGCCCCUCAGACCCCAGGUACAAACAUUGAAGUAAAUAACAGCAGGGAUGGGGGUUCUGCCUCGCUUCACCUGCCAGCCACGUGCAGACCUUGUUUCAGUCCAACUGAGACUUUAGCAAGUGCUUCAUUCUGGUUUGUGAAUGGCUUCCCAGUGUCUGUCACUGUGUUCACAGGGCCACCGGGGUUGGCUGAGUCAGAAUACCAGCCAUGUGGCAUGUCGCAUGGGGCAAGAGCUGUGCUGCCCAUGGGAGUCCAGAGAAGGAGCACACUAAGGACCAACACCAGCUCUGCAGAUGAGCAAUAUCAUCACAACUAACCAAUUGAUCAAUUAUUCAUUCAGUCAUUUAAUGAGAAGCUACUGUGUACCCAUCCUUUCCUUGGCCUUCUGGACAGUUAGACAUGGUGCCUGUCUUCAGAUUGCUCACACACCAGUUGGAGACACAAAAGUUACAUGCAGUAAGCAACAAUCCCUAAAUGCUCAACAGCUCACCAAGCCUGAAUAGAGAGGAAGAGACCUUGGUGUGGCCUGGAAGGAAAGAGCAGCUUUGGGAAGGAG